This 253-nucleotide ribosomal RNA is filed under the name uncultured bacterium. RNAcentral's name for it is "partial 16S ribosomal RNA". It matches the Rfam family "Bacterial small subunit ribosomal RNA", at positions 524 to 776 of the family's 1533-position model. The record is from RNAcentral.
UACAGAGGUCCCGAGCGUUGUUCGGAUUCACUGGGCGUAAAGGGUACGUAGGUGGCUGGGAAAGUUUGAUGUGAAAGCUCAGGGCUUAACCCUGAAAUGGCAUUGAAUACUGCCUGGCUGGAGGUUUGGAGGGGGGACUGGAAUUCUUGGUGUAGCAGUGAAAUGCGUAGAUAUCAAGAGGAACACCAGUGGCGAAGGCGAGUCCCUGGACAACACCUGACACUGAGGCACGAAAGCCGGGGGAGCAAACAGG